This is a non-coding RNA of Myotis davidii, 129 nucleotides long. NCBI's taxonomy places the organism in Eukaryota, Metazoa, Chordata, Mammalia, Chiroptera, Vespertilionidae. The record is from Rfam.
AGGUCAUUUCAAAGAGGGCUUGCAGGACUGUGAUGCCAGGAGCUCUUAACACUGUCGCCAAAGACCGAAGUUCUCCAUAGGAUGUCAUAGUCACUCAAUAGCGCUGUGUGUUCCUGAAGAGACAUAGCC